AUUGAACGCUGGCGGAAUGCUUUACACAUGCAAGUCGAACGGCAGCACGGGGGCAACCCUGGUGGCGAGUGGCGAACGGGUGAGUAAUACAUCGGAACGUGCCCAGUCGUGGGGGAUAACGUAGCGAAAGUUACGCUAAUACCGCAUACGAUCUACGGAUGAAAGCGGGGGACCGUAAGGCCUCGCGCGAUUGGAGCGGCCGAUGUCAGAUUAGGUAGUUGGUGAGGUAAAGGCUCACCAAGCCGACGAUCUGUAGCUGGUCUGAGAGGACGACCAGCCACACUGGGACUGAGACACGGCCCAGACUCCUACGGGAGGCAGCAGUGGGGAAUUUUGGAUAAUGGGCGCAAGCCUGAUCCAGCCAUUCCGCGUGCAGGACGAAGGCCUUCGGGUUGUAAACUGCUUUUGUACGGAACGAAAAGGCUCUGGUUAAUACCCGGGGCUCAUGACGGUACCGUAAGAAUAAGCACCGGCUAACUACGUGCCAGCAGCCGCCGUAA
RNAcentral lists this ribosomal RNA (500 nucleotides) under uncultured bacterium. RNAcentral's name for it is "partial 16S ribosomal RNA". It matches the Rfam family "Bacterial small subunit ribosomal RNA", at positions 30 to 523 of the family's 1533-position model. The record is from RNAcentral.